This 447-nucleotide ribosomal RNA is filed under the name uncultured bacterium. Its description in RNAcentral is "bacterial SSU rRNA". It matches the Rfam family "Bacterial small subunit ribosomal RNA", at positions 328 to 792 of the family's 1533-position model. The record is from RNAcentral.
CGCCCAGACUCCUACGGGAGGCAGCAGUGGGGAAUAUUGCACAAUGGGGGAAACCCUGAUGCAGCGACGCCGCGUGAGUGAAGAAGUAAUUCGUUAUGUAAAGCUCUAUCAGCAGGGAAGAAAAUGACGGUACCUGAGUAAGAAGCCCCGGCUAACUACGUGCCAGCAGCCGCGGUAAUACGUAGGGGGCAAGCGUUAUCCGGAUUUACUGGGUGUAAAGGGAGCGUAGACGGCAGUGCAAGUCCGGAGUGAAAGCCCGGGGCUCAACCCUGGGACUGCUCUGGAAACUGUAAAGCUGGAGUGCGGGAGGGGCAGGCGGAAUUCCUGGUGUAGCGGUGAAAUGCGUAGAUAUCAGGAGGAACACCGGCGGCGAAGGCGGCCUGCUGGACCGUAACUGACGUUGAGGCUCGAAAGCGUGGGGAGCAAACAGGAUUAGAUACCCGGGUA